GAUACUGUAGAUAUAGUUUUAAUUAAAACAUUAGAUUGUGGUUCUAAAAACAGAGGUUAAAACCCUCUUAUUCACCGA
RNAcentral lists this transfer RNA (78 nucleotides) under Scleromystax sp. 'CW42'. Its description in RNAcentral is "tRNA-His". The stretch from base 7 to 76 matches the Rfam family "tRNA". From Rfam's summary of the family: Transfer RNA (tRNA) molecules are approximately 80 nucleotides in length. Their secondary structure includes four short double-helical elements and three loops (D, anti-codon, and T loops). The record is from RNAcentral. Lineage: Eukaryota; Metazoa; Chordata; Actinopteri; Siluriformes; Callichthyidae.